GACGAACGCUGGCGGCGUGCUUAACACAUGCAAGUCGUACGGUAAGGCCCUUUCGGGGGUCCACGAGUGGCGAACGGGUGAGUAACACGUGAGUAACCUGCCCACAACUUUGGGAUAACGCUAGGAAACUGGUGCUAAUACUGGAUAUGUGCUCCUGCUGCAUGGUGGGGGUUGGAAAGCUCCGGCGGUUGUGGAUGGACUCGCCGCCUAUCAGCUUGUUGGUGGGGUAGUGGCCUACCAAGGCGGCGACGGGUAGCCGGCCUGAGAGGGUGACCGGCCACAUUGGGACUGAGAUACGGCCCAGACUCCUACGGGAGGCAGCGGUGGGGAAUAUUGCACAAUGGGCGCAAGCCUGAUGCAGCAACGCCGCGUGCGGGAUGACGGCCUUCGGGUUGUAAACCGCUUUCAGCAGGGACGAAGCUUUUUGUGACGGUACCUGCAGAAGAAGCACCGGCUAACUACGUG
RNAcentral lists this ribosomal RNA (465 nucleotides) under uncultured bacterium. Its description in RNAcentral is "partial 16S ribosomal RNA". It matches the Rfam family "Bacterial small subunit ribosomal RNA", at positions 28 to 507 of the family's 1533-position model. The record is from RNAcentral.